Long non-coding RNA from Mauremys mutica (yellowpond turtle), 450 nucleotides. RefSeq lists it as uncharacterized. The transcript is spliced from 3 exons. The record is from RefSeq and is a predicted model, not a curated record. NCBI's taxonomy places the organism in Eukaryota, Metazoa, Chordata, Testudines, Geoemydidae.
GGGACUCGAGCCAAUUACAUCUCAUUUUACAUUAGAGUGUUAAAGAUGUUAUUCUCCAAUUGGAAAGUCACUCUUUAAAACAAUGCCCCUGCUCAUAGAAGUGGAGCUCAAAUAUCUGGAGUCCAGGAAACGUGCUGCAGAACUUCUCUCUGACGUGUCCCAAAGCUUCUGCUGCAGAGGAGAAUAAGCCAAGAGCCUUCAGCUGUUUUCACUUUAAAACAACAUUAUUCACUGGACUCACCUUUGAAGUUCAAGACACAAAAACGAUCAACUUUAAAAUUAGCACAUAAAAUUAAUGAUUGCUGGAGUUGGCAGGCUCCCUGGAAAACCUGGGUGCUUCUGGCAUUUUCAUUUGGAAAGGCUUCAAAGCUAUUGCCUGUAUUAAACAUUAGAACUGGGAGCUGGAAAGUAAGAGAGAUGGAGAGGAAAAUAUCUCCUGAAUAUCAGGUG